Long non-coding RNA from Lontra canadensis (Northern American river otter), 285 nucleotides. RefSeq lists it as uncharacterized. The transcript has 2 exons. The record is from RefSeq and is a predicted model, not a curated record. NCBI's taxonomy places the organism in Eukaryota, Metazoa, Chordata, Mammalia, Carnivora, Mustelidae.
CCUGCAUCUGACCAGACGCCCCAAGGACAGAGUUUGUGGGAGCCAGAGCUCAAGCCAUUGGCUGGAGUGAAAACCAUGCUGUUAUUGAUGUCGCUUGCCCUUGGAAUGCUCUCCCGGCUUUCCACUCCUCUGCCUGCCAAGCACACUUGACCUGUGGUAUGCAAAGGUCCAACAGCACUGACCAGUCUCCCCCGAGCUGUCUCACUUGUCCGAAGUAUGUGGUGUGACAAGAUUAGAGGGGCAUGUGGAGGAGGACCCAGGGAGGAUGGAGAAGGACCAUGCCAG